This 1086-nucleotide ribosomal RNA is filed under the name Triticum aestivum (bread wheat). RNAcentral describes it as "partial small subunit ribosomal RNA". The record is from RNAcentral. Lineage: Eukaryota; Viridiplantae; Streptophyta; Magnoliopsida; Poales; Poaceae.
AUGGCCAGCAACUCCGGCUCUGAAGUUAAUCAAGGCCAGCUACCCAAGACAUCGUCCAGAUGCUUGACGGAGAGCUUCACCACGCAGCAUGAUUUCGAGGUGACCAGUUGCCGGUUGCUUGAUGGCAUCGGUGUCACCAAGUACGUUCUCUCAAGCCACUUCAGCGUCGCUGGCUUUGAAUGGUUUAUCAGUUUCUUCCCGGAUGGGUGGACUCUGGACUAUGCUGGCCAUGCGUCGGCCUUUCUGCAACGUGUCAUCCGAGCGAACGACACGCAUUGUGUGAGGACUAAGUUCACCUUAAACAAGCUGGAGAAAGACAGCGAAGCCCAAGUAACCACAUUCGAUGAGAUAGACCAUGUCUUUUGGGGGGCAAACCCAUUUAAUGGCCACGCAAAAUUCGUUGAGAAAUCGAAGCUGAAAUCAUUGUCGUGGUCCAACAAUGGCUACUUGAUUAUACGCUGUGUUCUCACCGUGAUAAAAGAAUCUCGCACGGAGGUUAAGAGGAACACUGUUGCGGUUCCGCAACCGAAUCUACAAGACCAGCUCCGGCAACUGCGGAAGGAUGGACAGGGAGCAGAUGUGACAUUCAGCGUGGGUGGCCAAUUAUUCAAAGCUCACGGAUGCUUGUUGGCUGCACGGUCUCUGGUUUUCAAGGCGGAGCUCUUUGGUCCGAUGAAGGAGAAAGAAACACAGUGCAUUAAAAUCGACGACAUCGACCCUGAAAUAUUUGAGGCGCUUCUCCACUUCAUAUACACAGAUUCCAUGCUAGUCGAUGAGCACUGCAAAGAAAGCAAACCUGCAAAACUGCAGCAUCUGCUAGUUGCCUCGGAUCGAUAUGGAUUGGAUAGGCUAAAGGUGAUGUGUGAAAGUAAAUUGUCUGAGUGCAUUGACGUAGAGACUGUUGCAACAACACUGGUUUUGGCAGAGCAACACCACUGCAAGGAUCUCAAAGAAGCUUGUGUUGAGUUUAUGGCUCCACGGAAUGUUCUGCAAGCUGCCAUGGCAACAGAUGGUUUCAAGCAUUUGGUAGCAAGCUGCCCUUUUGUCAUGAAGGAGUUAUUAGACAUGGUGUCCCGUAGUGGCUAG